UCCCGGAAGUGCGCGCGGCCCCGCCCCCGCCGGUUCGCGUCUCUCUGCUGCGGCGCGGGGACCGCUGUGCUCUCGGGAAAGCCCUGAGAAACUACCAGAACGGGGUCCCUGGGGCCAGUGUUGGGAGCGUACGGUGAAGGGGCAGGGCUGCUGCGCCCGUGCGGAACUCCCCUGUGGAAGAUUAGCCCGUUUGGUGACUCGUCGGUUCUGGCCGCUUUGGGACCCUCUACUGUGCAGUCUGAACUUUCAGCAGGUGGAGGAGGGCAGAGAGAGAGCUGAGAUUGUUGGUCCAUGCCAGUGCGAGAGCCAGUACGGCCGGAAGCCAUGAUGGGACUUUCAGUUCCUUUCUUGGUGGAGGCCAGCACAGGGGAGAGGGGGUGCCCAUAGAUGCUAGAAGCUUAAAGGCUGCUGGGGGCUAGCGGCCUCAAGACAUAAGGUUUCCAGACAGGACGGGGCAGGUGGUGAUGCAGCUGUAGCUCGUGAGUCUGAGCGGGAAACAGCCCCCGCACAGUCGGUGUCGCUGUGAACGGAAAAGGGCCUUCCUUACACAGGAAACGGGGUCUCUGGGGGAUCCAGUGACGUGCCCGACCACAGAGACCA
Molecule: small RNA, 600 nt
Filed under: Pan troglodytes (chimpanzee)
Lineage: Eukaryota; Metazoa; Chordata; Mammalia; Primates; Hominidae
Description: processed transcript
Source: RNAcentral